RNAcentral lists this long non-coding RNA (206 nucleotides) under Olea europaea (common olive). RNAcentral's name for it is "long non-coding RNA (OEUR_LNC012367)". The record is from RNAcentral. Lineage: Eukaryota; Viridiplantae; Streptophyta; Magnoliopsida; Lamiales; Oleaceae.
AGAGUCUCCAGCAGGCUAUGGGGACUUUGACGACUGAGAUGCAUACAGCCCACCGUGACAUCCGCAUUUCCACUGAUAUGUCACGUGUUGCUCGCCAGGAUGCCCAGGCAGCUAGGAGGGAGAUGGACACUAUGAACGGUCGACUCAGUGUGUAUGUGGGCAGGGUGGAUGGCAUCCAGAUGAGGGUAAAUGAAACUUGGGAGCGU